CAAGACGUAGCUUUAACGAAAGCAUUCAGCUUACACCUGAAAGAUAUCUGUUAACAUCAGAUCGUCUUGA
Molecule: transfer RNA, 70 nt
Filed under: Colluricincla harmonica (grey shrike-thrush)
Lineage: Eukaryota; Metazoa; Chordata; Aves; Passeriformes
Description: tRNA-Val
Rfam family: tRNA
About the family: Transfer RNA (tRNA) molecules are approximately 80 nucleotides in length.
Source: RNAcentral